This 828-nucleotide ribosomal RNA is filed under the name uncultured Bacillota bacterium. RNAcentral describes it as "bacterial SSU rRNA". It matches the Rfam family "Bacterial small subunit ribosomal RNA", at positions 58 to 915 of the family's 1533-position model. The record is from RNAcentral. Lineage: Bacteria; Bacillati; Bacillota.
CAAGUCGCACGAGAAAGCGGGAGCAAUCUCGCAAGUACAGUGGCGUACGGGUGAGUAACACGUGGGUAAUCUACCCUUUAGUGGGGAAUAACGCUGGGAAACCGGCGCUAAUACCGCAUAAGCUCGAGAGAGGAAAGCAGCAAUGCGCUGAAGGAGGAGCCCGCGGCCGAUUAGCCAGUUGGUGAGGUAACGGCCCACCAAAGCGAAGAUCGGUAGCCGGCCUGAGAGGGCACACGGCCACACUGGCACUGAGACACGGGCCAGACUCCUACGGGAGGCAGCAGUGGGGAAUCUUGCACAAUGGGGGAAACCCUGAUGCAGCGACGCCGCGUGAGCGAUGAAGCCCUUCGGGGUGUAAAGCUCUUUCGGCAGGGACGAUAAUGACGGUACCUGCAGAAGCAGCUGCGGCUAACUACGUGCCAGCAGCCGCGGUAAUACGUAGGCAGCAAGCGUUGUUCGGAGUUACUGGGCGUAAAGGGUGUGUAGGCGGUCCUCUAAGUUUGGUGUGAAAUCUCCCGGCUCAACCGGGAGGGUGCGCCGAAAACUGGAGGGCUAGAGUGCGGGAUGGGAGAGUGGAAUUCCUGGUGUAGCGGUGAAAUGCGUAGAUAUCAGGAGGAACACCGGUGGUGUAGACGGCUCUCUGGACCGCGACUGACGCUGAGACACGAAAGCGUGGGUAGCAAACAGGAUUAGAUACCCUGGUAGUCCACGCCCUAAACGAUGCAUAUUUUGGUGUGGGUCAUUCAUUUGAUCCGUGCCCGGAGCUAACGCGUUAAUAUGCCGCCUGGGGGAGUACAGUCGCAAGGCUGAAACUCAAAGAAAUUGACG